Aricia agestis (brown argus) is the source of this 82-nucleotide long non-coding RNA. RefSeq lists it as uncharacterized. NCBI's taxonomy places the organism in Eukaryota, Metazoa, Arthropoda, Insecta, Lepidoptera, Lycaenidae. The record is from RefSeq and is a predicted model, not a curated record. The transcript has 3 exons.
UACCCUUUGAUUAACAUUAGUGUCGCCGCACACGGGCCACACGCGACAGCCACAAACGCCGCCACAAGAAUCAAGAAAAGGC